UAUUUAAUAAAUAUGUAUAAAUAUAUAAAUAGGGUACGGGUACAAGAAAGUAUUAUAUUACCAUCUCCCUUCGUGUACCUAAUAAAAGUUUAAAAUUAUAUUCAUCUUCUUCCCUCUAAUGUAAUAUCCAUCCUCAUUUGGAUAAAAAAUCAUAUUAUUCAUUAAAUAUGGAUAAAAUUAACAUUCCUAAUCAAUAUUAUCAAACACUAGCUCAUAAUUUUAAUUUCUUUUUACAAAGAAGUCAAAAACUUAAACGUGUGUUUGAAUUUUGGAUGGAUUGAAAAUCUAAAAAGCCAAUAUACUUGUUGGGUAAAAAAUAAAAAUUUCAAAAUUUAUGAGAAAAUUUCAAUUUCCCCCUUAAAUUUAAGCCAAAGAUGUGAUAUUUCAAAAUUAUUCCAAACCCCUUUUCACUUUAUCUCACAUGACCCACAUAGAAUACAAAACUUAAAAAAUAAGAUAUUAUAUUAUCUAACUUUAAUAUAUAUUUUACUUUUUCAUAUUAUUAAUAAUAUUUAUAUAUUUUUACGAAUCUAAUUAUACUCAUAUUACUUAUUCAUUAAAAAAUAUUUUUCAACUUAGGGGCCGGGCAGGUAAUUUGGUCCGUGCCUAUUGCAUAAAAUUUGUCACUAAAAUGUCAUAAAAAAAUUGUUACUACAAAGUAAUCAAAUUUGGGUAUAUAUAUAGAAAUGAAAAAAAAAGAAAAGAAAUCCUUAUCCACGCGUGCUUAGAAAAGAAUGCACCGUUGAAAUUAUUCCAUGGACCCUAACCCUAAAGGCUAAUUUUAUCCUUUGAUCAUAUAGGGAUGAUCAACAAUAUUCCAAAAGUGUAAUAAAAAAUUAUAGAGAAGCAUGCAUUAAUGCAGCUUGCAGGAUAUGAAUGCAGAGCAAGCUAGCUAGCUGUAAAGCUUUAAAAAUUCAACAUCAUCUUUCAAUUGAUAGCAGCAUGAAAAAGACAUGGGGGACUACGCAACAAAGGCCAACCCGGUCCUUUUCUUUGCUUUCAUGGUGAUAUAUACUGAUGGGUGAUAGCAGAGAUAAUGUUUGAAGGUGAUCUCCAGCUAAUUUCAAUGUCACUGCCUCUCAAUCCCCCAUUCCCCCAAAUCCCAACCCCUUUCCUUCUUCUUUUUUUUUUUAUCAAAAUUUUGGCCUUUUUUUUUGACAUUUUGGAGAAUUUUGCCGUUGCAUGGAACUUGAAUAAAUUGUCUGAUUGUUUUUAAAGCUCAAGAGCUGCCUUUUUUUGGGUUUUCCAAAGAGGAAAAAAUUUAUGUGUAUGAAUAUUGGGUUUAAUUAACUAUAGAACAAAUGAGUAUGGCCAAACUACACUUUUGGGUUUUUUUAUACUAAGCAUAAGAGUCUCUUACUCAUCUUUUGGAUCAUUUCUUUUUUUGAAAAAUGGAAAUUCGAAUCUAACUUUUUUUUAAAUAAAGAAUCAUGUACUUGGUAUUUGAUCAAAGCUCAAGUGCUUUGAAACAAUUGAAAU
This 1479-nucleotide long non-coding RNA is filed under the name Durio zibethinus. RNAcentral describes it as "long non-coding RNA (DZIB_LNC002146)". The record is from RNAcentral. Lineage: Eukaryota; Viridiplantae; Streptophyta; Magnoliopsida; Malvales; Malvaceae.